RNAcentral lists this transfer RNA (67 nucleotides) under Ictidomys tridecemlineatus (thirteen-lined ground squirrel). RNAcentral describes it as "Spermophilus tridecemlineatus (thirteen-lined ground squirrel) tRNA". It matches the Rfam family "tRNA". From Rfam's summary of the family: Transfer RNA (tRNA) molecules are approximately 80 nucleotides in length. Their secondary structure includes four short double-helical elements and three loops (D, anti-codon, and T loops). Further hydrogen bonds mediate the characteristic L-shaped molecular structure. tRNAs have two regions of fundamental functional importance: the anti-codon, which is responsible for specific mRNA codon recognition, and the 3' end, to which the tRNAs corresponding amino acid is attached (by aminoacyl-tRNA synthetases). tRNAs cope with the degeneracy of the genetic code in two manners: having more than one tRNA (with a specific anti-codon) for a particular amino acid; and 'wobble' base-pairing, i.e. permitting non-standard base-pairing at the 3rd anti-codon position. The record is from Rfam by way of RNAcentral. Lineage: Eukaryota; Metazoa; Chordata; Mammalia; Rodentia; Sciuridae.
GGGGUUGUGGCUCAGUGGUAGAGUGCUUGCCUAGCACGUGAGGCACUGGGUUCAAACCUCAGCACCA